Molecule: ribosomal RNA, 450 nt
Filed under: uncultured bacterium
Lineage: Bacteria
Description: partial 16S ribosomal RNA
Rfam family: Bacterial small subunit ribosomal RNA
Source: RNAcentral
GUGGGGAAUAUUGGGCAAUGGACGAAAGUCUGACGGCGCAACGCCGCGUGAGUGAUGACGGCCUUCGGGUUGUAAAGCUCUGUGAUCGGGGACGAAUGGCUGGUAUGCUAAUACCAUAUCAGAGUGACGGUACCCGAAUAGCAAGCCACGGCUAACUACGUGCCAGCAGCCGCGGUAAUACGUAGGUGGCAAGCGUUGUCCGGAAUUAUUGGGCGUAAAGCGCGCGCAGGCGGCUUCUUAAGUCCAUCUUAAAAGUGCGGGGCGUAACCCCGUGGUGGGAUGGAACCUGGGAGGCUGGAGUAUCGGAGAUGAAAGUGGAAUUCCUAGUGUAGCGGUGAAAUGCGUAGAGAUUAGGAAGAACACCGGUGGCGAAGGCGACUUUCUGGACGACAACUGACGCUGAGGCGCGAAAGCGUGGGGAGCAAACAGGAUUAGAAACCCCGGUAGUCC